UCCCUGGUGUCUCAGAUGGUAAAGAAUCUGCCUGCAGUGCAGGAGGCCCAGGUUUGAUCUCUGGGUCAGGAAG
Non-coding RNA from Bos taurus (domestic cattle), 73 nucleotides. Lineage: Eukaryota; Metazoa; Chordata; Mammalia; Artiodactyla; Bovidae. The record is from Rfam.